This 460-nucleotide ribosomal RNA is filed under the name uncultured bacterium. RNAcentral describes it as "partial 16S ribosomal RNA". It matches the Rfam family "Bacterial small subunit ribosomal RNA", at positions 338 to 795 of the family's 1533-position model. The record is from RNAcentral.
CCUACGGGAGGCAGCAGUGCGGAAUAUUGGUCAAUGGGCGCAAGCCUGAACCAGCCAAGUAGCGUGAAGGAUGACUGCCCUACGGGUUGUAACCUUCUUUUAUAGAGGAAUACAGUGAGGCACGUAUGCCUUUUUGUAUGUACUUUAUGAAUAAAGCUCGCCUCACUCAGUGCCAGCAGCCGAGGUAAUACGGAGGAUCCGAGCGUUAUACGGAUUUGUUGGGGGUAAAGGGAGAGUAGAGGGGAUGUUAAGUCAGUUGUGAAAGUUUGCGGCUCAACCGUAAAAUUGCAAUUGAUACUGGCAGUCUUGAGUACAGUUGAGGUAGGUGGAAUUCGUGGUGUAGCGGUGAAAUGCGUAGAGAUCAGACGGAACACCGAUUGCGAAGGCAGCUUACUAAUCUAUAUCUGACGCUGAGGCACGAAAGCGUGGGGAGCAAACAGGAUUAGAUACCCUGGUAGUC